ACACUUAGUGGCGAAAGGGUUAGUAAUGGCUAGGUAACGUACCCCCAUCUCCGGGAUAGCUAUUCGAAAGGAUAGGUAAUACCGGAUAAUAUCAUAAGUCGAUAGGCUUAUGAUCUAAGAUUUAUCGGGAGGGGAGCGGCCUAGUUCCUAUCAGCUUGUUGGUGAGGUAAUGGCUCACCAAGGCAUCGACGGGUAGCGGGACUGAGAGGUUGGCCCGCAACAUCGGAACUGAGACACUGUCCGGACCUCCACGGAGGGCUGCAGUAACGAAUAUUGCGCAAUGGGCGUAAGCCUGACGCAGCGACGCCGCGUGUGGGAUGAAGUUUUUCGGAAUGUAAACCACUUUUCGGGUUUAGAAAGUCUUCGGAUUGAUCAGCCCCGGAAUAAGUCACGGCUAACUUCGUGCCAGCAGCCGCGGUAAGACGAAGGUGGCAAGCGUUGUUCGGUAUUACUGGGCUUAAAGCGUGUGUAGGCGGAAAUGUAAGCGUUUUGUGAAAUCCCUCGGCUCAACCGAGGAAUUGCUUGGCGAACUACAUUUCUUGAGGCAAGUAGGGGUACACGGAACUCUUGGUGGAGCGGUGGAAUGCGUAGAUAUCAAGAGGAACGCCGGUGGAGAAGUCGGUGUACUGGGCUUGUCCUGACGCUGAGACACGAAAGCGUGGGGAGCAAACAGGAUUAGAUACCCUGGUAGUCCACGCUGUAAACGAUGUCUACUAGGUCGUGGGAGUUCUGACGCUCGCACGGCCGAAGCUAAAGUGUUAAGUAGACCGCCUGGGGAGUACGGUCGCAAGGCUAAAACUCAAAGGAAUUGACGGGGGCUCACACAAGCGGUGGAGCAUGUGGAUUAACUCGAAGCAACGCGCAGAACCUUACCUGGGUUUGACAUGUUUGGAUGCCCUUUGGGAAACCAGAGUAAGCUGCCCUUCGGGGUGAAACUUACGCAGGUGCUGCAUGGCUGUCGUCAGCUCGUGUCGUGAGAUGUUGGGUUAAGUCCUUUAACGAGCGAAACCCUUACCGUUAGUUGCCAGCGCGUCAUGGCGGGGACUCUAACGGGACUGCCGGUGUUAAACCGGAGGAAGGUGGGGAUGACGUCAAGUCCUCAUGGCCUUUAUGCCCAGGGCUUCACACGUGCUACACUGGUCCGGACAGAGCGACGCAAGACCGCGAGGUGGAGCAAAUCGCAAAAACCGGGCCCCAGUUCGGAUUGUAGGCUGGCAACUCGCCUACAUGAAGUUGGAAUCGCUAGUAAUCGCGUGUCAGCUAUAACGCGGUGAAUGUGUUCCUGAGCCCUGUACACACCGCCCGUCAAGUGAUGGGAGUUGGGAGUACCCGAAGUCGGAUUGCUAACCAGCAAUGGAGGCGUCUGCCGACGGUAAGCCCGAUGACUGGCACUAAGUCGGAACAAGGUA
Molecule: ribosomal RNA, 1409 nt
Filed under: metagenome
Description: bacterial SSU rRNA
Rfam family: Bacterial small subunit ribosomal RNA
Source: RNAcentral